AUCACCUCCCUGCUCCUGUGGCUGCACUAUUUCUGGCAGAAAGCAGUAAGGAGUCAGAAGCCAUUCUUCCUGAUUCUACAUACCAGCAGGGUUCAACUCACUCCAAAUCAAAGUGGAGUUGCUGAGGAGGGACUAAUUAUGAGGUAAGACAUUUUCCAAGAGUAAGAAGGUUACACACUGACUGCAUCAGACUGAAAAAUACCAGUGUAUUUGAAAAAUAUCAAUGCAUUGCACAAGACUGCUCCAGUCAAAGCACCAGGACUGUGUUGGACAGGAAGGAAAAAUGAAUUCCAGGAUGAGGAAUCUCCACUGACCUUGUCCCAUCCCAGGCUCUACACAAGAACGUCACUGCUGAUUUUGACAACACAUGUGUCAUCUAAGAUGUGAUGAGCAAGUGGUAAAAAAAAGCUUAAGAAGCACUGAAAUGGUGUGGUUAUUUACCAGUGUGCACUGCUUCGUAGUGGCUGUAACAGACUGACUGGGUACUGGGUCUUAAAGAACGCCUCACCCUUAGCUGAGAUUUGGUCUGUGUUUCCAGCUGCCUUGUCUUGUGAGAACUCCUUGCAAAUGCAUCAGAUAUCCCGUGACGUGGUUUUUCCCCUGCAUGGAGUAAAAGCAAGGAAGGCUCACCCUUUCUUUGCUGUACCCUCUUUUGUACUGUCUUUUAUUUCACUCUGUGUCUCUCUUCUGACUACUCUGAACAGUUCACAACUUUUCAAGUAAGAACUUCAUACAAAAGCUUUUGUAUUCGUGAGCAUUGUCUGUCUCAUAUUUUUUGUGU
This is a long non-coding RNA of Lagopus leucura (white-tailed ptarmigan), 781 nucleotides long. RefSeq lists it as uncharacterized. The record is from RefSeq and is a predicted model, not a curated record. The transcript has 7 exons. Lineage: Eukaryota; Metazoa; Chordata; Aves; Galliformes; Phasianidae.